UCUUUCGAAAAGUCCUUUCUUCAAGCAUGGCAAGAGUCCUCCAGCACCAAGUUCAAAUGAUAUCUCAUGUACAUUAAAUAAUCAAGACUUUGAACUAUUGGAAAUCACACAAGACACCCACACAAAUUUCCCAGAGGAAACUGUAAAACGAACUCAGGAAAAGAAAACAUUCCGGUUCAUGAGCUUAAUUUUAACAGUCCUCCUAACACGCAAGCUGUGAAAAAAGCUAGAACAGCUGAAUUUAUCAAUUCUCUUCCAUCAAUCUUUGAAGAGGAUAUCAAUCCAAGUCAUGAAAAUGCAGAGCAAAAAUCGUCAAACAGCGCACAUGAUAAGCUCAGAGAAGCUCACAUGACCACGUGUUUUGGCGAAUUAGCAUCCUCCAUUGGUCACUCCCUUGUAAUUCUGAGGAAGAAACGUUAUGGAAAAAUCAACUACAAUCAGGAC
This 444-nucleotide long non-coding RNA is filed under the name Bemisia tabaci. RNAcentral describes it as "lncRNA ENSSSA1UGG010770". The record is from RNAcentral. Lineage: Eukaryota; Metazoa; Arthropoda; Insecta; Hemiptera; Aleyrodidae.